GACGAACCGUGCAAACGUUAUUCGGAUUCACUGGGCUUAAAGCGCGUGUAGGCGGGCCGGCACGUCGGAUGCUGAAAGCCCCCGGCUCAACCGGGGAACGGGCACCGAUACGACCGGCCUGGAGGGGGUAGGGGGAGCCGGAACUUCCGGUGGAGCGGUGAAAUGCGUUGAGAUCGGAAGGAACGCCCGUGGCGAAAGCGGGCUCCUGGACCCCACCUGACGCUGAGACGCGAAAGCCAGGGGAGCAAACGGG
Molecule: ribosomal RNA, 253 nt
Filed under: uncultured bacterium
Lineage: Bacteria
Description: partial 16S ribosomal RNA
Rfam family: Bacterial small subunit ribosomal RNA
Source: RNAcentral